AGUGAACGCUGGCGGUAGGCCUAACACAUGCAAGUCGAACGGCAGCACAGUAAGAGCUUGCUCUUACGGGUGGCGAGUGGCGGACGGGUGAGGAAUACAUCGGAAUCUACUUUUUCGUGGGGGAUAACGUAGGGAAACUUACGCUAAUACCGCAUACGACCUACGGGUGAAGGCAGGGGAUCUUCGGACCUUGCGCGAUUGAAUGAGCCGAUGUCGGAUUAGCUAGUUGGCGGGGUAAAGGCCCACCAAGGCGACGAUCCGUAGCUGGUCUGAGAGGAUGAUCAGCCACACUGGAACUGAUACACGGUCCAGACUCCUACGGGAGGCAGCAGUGGGGAAUAUUGGACAAUGGGCGCAAGCCUGAUCCAGCCAUACCGCGUGGGUGAAGAAGGCCUUCGGGUUGUAAAGCCCUUUUGUUGGGAAAGAAAAGCAGCAGGUUAAUACCCCGCUGUUCUGACGGUACCCAAAGAAUAAGCACCGGCUAACUUCGUG
This 492-nucleotide ribosomal RNA is filed under the name uncultured bacterium. RNAcentral describes it as "partial 16S ribosomal RNA". It matches the Rfam family "Bacterial small subunit ribosomal RNA", at positions 29 to 507 of the family's 1533-position model. The record is from RNAcentral.